Long non-coding RNA from Rosa chinensis, 729 nucleotides. RefSeq lists it as uncharacterized. The transcript has 2 exons. The record is from RefSeq and is a predicted model, not a curated record. NCBI's taxonomy places the organism in Eukaryota, Viridiplantae, Streptophyta, Magnoliopsida, Rosales, Rosaceae.
UUGAUUGAUAAGUCUUGGCCCCAUCUCAAUUAUUUUGUUAAUGAUCUUAGCAUGCUUUGAUCACCAGAAAGGGAACAAAUGCUAUGAUGAAUUGUUCUUUCCAAGCUUCUGCAAUGAUGAAAGUAUAAAAGGGCUUUUCAGUUUCCACCACCAGAUAAGAAAGUGGAUAAAAGAAGUUGGUAGGAGCGUUUUGAAGAGGAAACGCCUGAAUUGACGAAGUUUGCUGUUCGUGUCCUUAGCCUAACCUGUAGUGCAUCAGGAUGUGAGAGGAAUUGGAGCACAUUUGAGUCGGUAAGGUUAUCAAGUGGAAUUAUAUAAUAGGUUGAAUGUUUCUAAUAUCUAGUUUUUAUUUUUAUGUUGGUUUUAGAUUCACACAAAAAAAAGGAAUAGACUUGAACAUAAGAGGCUAAAUGCAUUGGUUUAUUUGAAGUAUAACUCUUUACUAAGAGAGUGAAACAUUAGAAGAAAAUGAGAAAACUUGCUGCAUUAAUACUUAGGGAUGAAGAUGAUGAGAUAGAAGACCUUACUUUGCCUCCCUACACUGAUGCAGCAUUGAUCAGUGAUGAUUGUAAUGAUAUUAAUGUGGGUGUGGAUGCAUAUGAUGACUAUGAUUUGGAAGAAUGAAGUGCAGUUGUUAUUUUUGAAUUAAUAUAGUAUGAACCUAUGUAUUAUUGAAUUUAAAGUUAUGAGAGUGCUUAUUUGGAAUCGUAUUUAAAUAUAUUCAUAUUA